GGGGAAUAUUGGGCAAUGGGCGAAAGCCUGACCCAGCAACGCCGCGUGAGGGAAGAAGGUUUUCGGAUUGUAAACCUCUGUCGCAGGGGAAGAAAGAAAUGACGGUACCCUGUGAGGAAGCCCCGGCUAACUACGUGCCAGCAGCCGCGGUAAGACGUAGGGGGCAAGCGUUGUCCGGAAUUACUGGGCGUAAAGGGUGCGUAGGCGGCAAUUCAAGUCUGAUGUGAAAUACCCGUGCUUAACAUGGGGGUUGCAUCGGAAACUGAAUAGCUAGAGUGCAGGAGAGGUAAGCGGAAUUCCUAGUGUAGCGGUGAAAUGCAUAGAUAUUAGGAGGAACACCAGUGGCGAAGGCGGCUUACUGGACUGUAACUGACGCUGAAGCACGAAAGCGUGGGGAGCAAAC
This 403-nucleotide ribosomal RNA is filed under the name uncultured bacterium. Its description in RNAcentral is "bacterial SSU rRNA". It matches the Rfam family "Bacterial small subunit ribosomal RNA", at positions 356 to 773 of the family's 1533-position model. The record is from RNAcentral.